GUGCCAGCAGCCGCGGUAAUACCUAGGUGGCAAGCGUUGUCCGGAAUUAUUGGGCGUAAAGCGCGCGCAGGCGUCUCUUAAGUCUGAUGUGAAAGCCCCCGGCUCAACCGGGGAGGGUCAUUGGAAACUGGGAGACUUGAGUGCAGGAGAGGGAAGCUGGAAUUCCAUGUGUAGCGGUGAAAUGCGUAGAGAUAUGGAGGAACACCAGUGGCGAAGGCGGCUUCCUGGCCUGUAACUGACGCUGAGGCGCGAAAGCGUGGGGAGCAAACAGGAUUAGAUACCCUGGUAGUCCACGCCGUAAACGUAUGAGUGCUAGGUGUUAGGGGGUUUCCGCCCCUUAGUGCUGCASSUAACGCAUUAAGCACUCCGCCUGGGGAGUACGGUCGCAAGCAUGAAACUCAAAGGAAUUGACGG
RNAcentral lists this ribosomal RNA (414 nucleotides) under Ureibacillus thermosphaericus. RNAcentral describes it as "bacterial SSU rRNA". It matches the Rfam family "Bacterial small subunit ribosomal RNA", at positions 505 to 916 of the family's 1533-position model. Lineage: Bacteria; Bacillati; Bacillota; Bacilli; Caryophanales; Caryophanaceae. The record is from RNAcentral.